RNAcentral lists this ribosomal RNA (367 nucleotides) under Hyphomicrobiales bacterium. RNAcentral's name for it is "bacterial SSU rRNA". It matches the Rfam family "Bacterial small subunit ribosomal RNA", at positions 1 to 394 of the family's 1533-position model. The record is from RNAcentral. Lineage: Bacteria; Pseudomonadati; Pseudomonadota; Alphaproteobacteria; Hyphomicrobiales.
UCCAAUCUGAGAGUUUGAUCCUGGCUCAGAGCGAACGCUGGCGGCAGGCUUAACACAUGCAAGUCGAACGGGCACUUCGGUGCUAGUGGCAGACGGGUGAGUAACACGUGGGAACGUACCUUUCGGUUCGGAAUAAUUCAGGGAAACUUGGACUAAUACCGGAUACGCCCUUCGGGGGAAAGAUUUAUCGCCGAAAGAUCGGCCCGCGUCUGAUUAGCUAGUUGGUGAGGUAAAGGCUCACCAAGGCGACGAUCAGUAGCUGGUCUGAGAGGAUGAUCAGCCACAUUGGGACUGAGACACGGCCCAAACUCCUACGGGAGGCAGCAGUGGGGAAUCUUGCGCAAUGGGCGAAAGCCUGACGCAGCCA